GUUCUCUGCAGUCUCAGCAAAAGGC
Molecule: non-coding RNA, 25 nt
Filed under: Cricetulus griseus (Chinese hamster)
Lineage: Eukaryota; Metazoa; Chordata; Mammalia; Rodentia; Cricetidae
Source: RNAcentral